GGAGGGGAUGGAAAUUAACUGUCCAUCUCUUGAGUCUGUUCGGAUCGGUGGUUGUGAUAGGCUGAAAUACUUGCCAGAUGCCCUUCCUAAUCUCAGGAAUCUCAGUCGAUUGUGCUUGUAUGGGUGUAAGAAUUUGGAGUACAUUCCGGAAGGAUGGUUCCACUCUGCAACAAAUCUGACAUAUUUGAAUAUCAGGGGAUGCAAAAAACUGAAGGCCCUACCACACGGAUUGCAGAGCAUCAACUACCUCACUUCUCUUGAAGAGCUGUAUUUGAAUAUUUCAGAAUGGAACAACAACUUCAAGAAGAUUGGUUUGCACUGUUUAUCCUCUCUCAAAACACUGUUGAUUUCAGGGGAAGAAGAAGAACAUCCUAUGGGUUCCAGCUUUCCGAUAGAUGGGAUGUUGCUGCCCACCUCUCUGAUCUGUCUUCGCAUCUCAGGUUUCCGAAAUCUGGAGAAGCUAUCUUUUAAGUUGUUUCAAAACCUCGCCUCUCUUGAAGAACUUGAAAUCCUUGGUUGCCCUAGGCUCAAAUCUUUACCAGUGCAAAGGCUGCCUCCCUCACUUAAGGAAUUGUUGAUCGAGAGAUGUCCGAGACUAACAGGGAAGUGUGAAAAGGGGAAAGGCAAAUAUUGGCCCCACUUAGCUCACAUUCCUGACGUCGACGUCCGUGAGUGAUCAACUCUGUGGAGAUUCCACCGCAAUACAAGCAGUCAAAUUGCCAGAAAUGUGCUUUCAAGGAUCUGAAUACAGAGAAAGAUUUCUUCCGAUAGAUUUCCUCAUCUGCUUUUAUUUCCCGAGGAAACCACAACAAAUGGAAGAGUCCUCAUUUCUUUCCAACUUUGCGCAUUUGUUCUUGGAUAUCCUGUCCAUCCAGUGAUUGUUCGCUAUCCCCUUGUACACUUUGACCAAUCCUGGGGAAAUAUAGCUUUGGGAAAGCUCAUGUUUAGAAUGUUCAGAGUUUCACAAUUUCAUGGAGGACAACAUAUCUCUAGUCUAGUCUUAGAUUGAAUCCUGGAUUGCUGAGUCUUGAUUGGUUACACUAACUGUACAAACAUCUCAUUCCUAUGGGGACAUCAUGCAGCUUGCAAAAGCUUCCGAGUCCAAACAAGUCACUUUUCGUGCUCCAUGUGUUUUGGCUUUAUAGUUUAUCUUGCUUUUAGGUCGCAAAAAUGAUCUUGUACUUCAUUCAAACAUUCUAUGAAGUGCUAGAUUUUAGCUCUUAAACUUAAUUUGAUGGCCUUUUUCGUGAUGGGCCAAGAAUAUUUGAUGCAGCUGCAAUGAUGGAAUUUAUAUUGUCUCCUUGGGAUCUCGUAAUGUAUUAGGUGUAGGCCUUGAAGCACACCAUUUGAUGCUUAUAAUUCCUCUCUUCCAAAAUAAAUAAGUUGAAUCAAUGUUUUUAUUAAUGACUA
Camellia sinensis is the source of this 1410-nucleotide non-coding RNA. The record is from RefSeq and is a predicted model, not a curated record. NCBI's taxonomy places the organism in Eukaryota, Viridiplantae, Streptophyta, Magnoliopsida, Ericales, Theaceae.